Molecule: ribosomal RNA, 252 nt
Filed under: uncultured bacterium
Lineage: Bacteria
Description: partial 16S ribosomal RNA
Rfam family: Bacterial small subunit ribosomal RNA
Source: RNAcentral
GACGAACCGUGCGAACGUUGUUCGGAAUCACUGGGCUUAAAGGGCGCGUAGGCGGUCGAUCACGUCCGGGGUGAAAUCUUUCGGCUUAACCGGAAAAGGGCCUUGGAUACGGAUCGGCUGGAGGGAGAUAGGGGCAGCUGGAACUUCCGGUGGAGCGGUGAAAUGCGUUGAUAUCGGAAGGAACGCCGGUGGCGAAAGCGAGCUGCUGGAUCUCUUCUGACGCUGAGGCGCGAAAGCUAGGGGAGCAAACGG